AAUGAACGCUGGCGGCGCGCCUAAUACAUGCAAGUCGAGCGAGAAGACGCAGCAAUACGUUUGUAAAGCGGCGAACGGGUGAGGAAUACAUGGGUAACCUACCCUAGAGUGGGGAAUAACUAGCCGAAAGGUUAGCUAAUACCGCGUACGCUCCUUGGACUUCGGUUCAGGGAGGAAAGCGAUACCGAGGGUAUCGCGCUCUUGGAUGGGCUCAUGUCCUAUCAGCUUGUUGGGAGGUAACGGCUCACCAAGGCUUCGACGGGUAGCUGGUCUGAGAGGACGAUCAGCCACACUGGCACUGCGACACGGGCCAGACUCCUACGGGAGGCAGCAGUAAGGAAUAUUGCGCAAUGGGCGAAAGCCUGACGCAGCGACGCCGCGUGGGGGAGUGAAGGUCUUCGGAUU
This 405-nucleotide ribosomal RNA is filed under the name uncultured bacterium. Its description in RNAcentral is "bacterial SSU rRNA". It matches the Rfam family "Bacterial small subunit ribosomal RNA", at positions 29 to 424 of the family's 1533-position model. The record is from RNAcentral.